Molecule: ribosomal RNA, 253 nt
Filed under: uncultured bacterium
Lineage: Bacteria
Description: partial 16S ribosomal RNA
Rfam family: Bacterial small subunit ribosomal RNA
Source: RNAcentral
UACGGAGGGUGCGAGCGUUGUCCGGAAUCAUUGGGCGUAAAGGGCGCGUAGGCGGCGCGGUAAGUCACUUGUGAAAUCUCUGAGCUUAACUCAGAACGGCCAAGUGAUACUGCAGUGCUAGAGUGUGGAAGGGGCAAUCGGAAUUCUUGGUAUAGCGGUGAAAUGCGUAGAUAUCAAGAGGAACACCUGAGGUGAAGACGGGUUGCUGGGCCAACACUGACGCUGAGGCGCGAAAGCCAGGGGAGCAAACGGG